UCGAACGAGAACCGUAGCAAUACGGGGAAAGUGGCGAAAGGGGCAGUAAUGCAUGGGUAAUCUACCCCGGAGACGUGGAUAGCCAUCCUAACGGGUGGGUAAUACACGGCGAUUCGGCGAGGGGGCAUCCUUUUGUCGGGAAAUGAAUUUCGCCUCGGGAGGAACUCAUGUCGUAUUAGCUUGUUGGCGGGGUAACGGCCCACCAAGGCACAGAUGCGUAGCGGGUGUGAGAGCACGACCCGCGCCACUGGCACUGAGACACUGGCCAGACACCUACGGGUGGCUGCAGUCGAGGAUCUUCGGCAAUGGGCGCAAGCCUGACCGAGCGACGCCGCGUGUGCGACGAAGGCCUUCGGGUUGUAAAGCACUGUCGAGGGGGAGGAAAGCCGAAAGGUCUGACCUAUCCCUGGAGGAAGCACGGGCUAAGUUCGUGCCAGCAGCCGCGGUAAGACGAACCGUGCGAACGUUGUUCGGAAUCACUGGGCUUAAAGGGCGCGUAGGCGGGCGAUCAAGUCAGGGGUGAAAUCCUCCAGCUUAACUGGAGAACUGCCUCUGAUACUGGUCAUCUUGAGUGAGGUAGGGGCGUGCGGAACUGAUGGUGGAGCGGUGAAAUGUGUUGAUAUCAUCAGGAACUCCGGUGGCGAAAGCGGCGCGCUGGACCUUAACUGACGCUGAGGCGCGAAAGCCAGGGGAGCGAACGGGAUUAGAUACCCCGGUAGUCCUGGCCCUAAACGAUGAGGACUAGGUAGUAGACUUGACAUGGGUU
RNAcentral lists this ribosomal RNA (766 nucleotides) under uncultured bacterium. RNAcentral describes it as "bacterial SSU rRNA". It matches the Rfam family "Bacterial small subunit ribosomal RNA", at positions 62 to 840 of the family's 1533-position model. The record is from RNAcentral.